CUCAGCCUCCCGAGUAGCUAGGACUACAGGCACGUGCUACCACACCCGGCUAAGUUUUUGUAUUUUUAGUAGAGAUGGGGUUUCACCAGAUUAGCCGGGAUGGUCUCCAGCUCCUGACCUCGUGAACCGCCCGCCUUCGUCUUCCAAAGUGCUGGGAUUACAAGGUGCGACAAGAUAAUGAACCUCCAUUCCUCUGAGAGAAGAGUAUUUUGAAUAUUCGACUUUGCCCAUGAAUUUCCCUUUCCAUG
This 248-nucleotide long non-coding RNA is filed under the name Pan troglodytes (chimpanzee). Its description in RNAcentral is "lincRNA". Lineage: Eukaryota; Metazoa; Chordata; Mammalia; Primates; Hominidae. The record is from RNAcentral.